GUAAUUGGUAGAGGAGCAUUCUUAUAUGCGACGAAGCUGUACCGUAAGGAGCAGUGGAGAAAUAAGAAGAGAGAAUGCCGGAAUGAGUAGCGAGAGAAAGGUGAGAAUCCUUUCGGCUGAAUAUCCAAGGUUUCCAGCGUAAAGCUGAUCUGCGCUGGGUAAGUCGGGACCUAAGGAGAGGCCGCGAGGCGUAUCCGAUGGACAACAGGUUUAGAUUCCUGUACCGCACAUAAUCAGAACUGUAGGGACGCAUGUGGAGAGCACGAGCCGGGAAUGGAAAAACCGGUACAAGCGAGGUAGAUGGCUGUUAGGCAAAUCCGGCAGUCAAAUCGAAGACGUGAUGUGGAGCGAACUUAAGUAGCGAAGCGUGUGAGCCAUGUGCCGAGAAAAGCUGCUAUUGUGUUAUGUGUGCCCGUACCGUAAACCGACACAGGUGGAUGAGGAGAGAAUCCUAAGGCCGACGGAAGAAGCAUUGUUAAGGAAUUCGGCAAAAUGACCCCGUAACUUCGGGAGAAGGGGUGCCUCGAAAGAGGCCGCAGAGAAUAGGCUCAAGCAACUGUUUAGCAAAAACACAGGUCUAUGCGAAACCGAAAGGUGAAGUAUAUGGGCUGACGCCUGCCCGGUGCUGGAAGGUUAAGAGGAGAGGUUAGCUUCGGCGAAGCUUUGAAUUUAAGCCCCAGUAAACGGCGGCCGUAACUAUAACGGUCCUAAGGUAGCGAAAUUCCUUGUCGGGUAAGUUCCGACCCGCACGAAAGGCGUAAUGAUUUGAGCACUGUCUCGACAAUGCAUCCGGUGAAAUUGAAGUACCAGUGAAGAUGCUGGUUACCCGCGCCAGGACGGAAAGACCCCAUGGAGCUUUACUCCAGUUUGAUACUGGGAUUCGGUAUUGCACGUACAGGAUAGGUGGGAGACAAAGAAGAAUGGACGCCAGUCUGUUUGGAGUCGCUGUUGGGAUACCACCCCUGCAAUACUGGGUUUCUAACCUGUGGCCGUAAUCCGGUCAGGGGACAAUGUCAGGCGGGGAGUUUGACUGGGGCGGUCGCCUCCGAAAGGGUAUCGGAGGCGCUCAAAGGUUCCCUCAGAAUAGUUGGAAACUAUUUGCAGAGUGCAAAGGCAUAUGGGAGCUUGACUGCGACACCGACGGGUGGAGCAGGUACGAAAGUAGGACUUAGUGAUCCGGUGGUAUAAAGUGGGAUUGCCAUCGCUCAACGGAUAAAAGCUACCCUGGGGAUAACAGGCUUAUCACUCCCAAGAGUUCACAUCGACGGAGUGGUUUGGCACCUCGAUGUCGGCUCAUCGCAUCCUGGGGCUGUAGCAGGUCCCAAGGGUUGGGCUGUUCGCCCAUUAAAGCGGUACGCGAGCUGGGUUCAGAACGUCGUGAGACAGUUCGGUCCCUAUCCGGCGCGGGCGGAGGAAAUUUGAGAGGAGCUGUCCUUAGUACGAGAGGACCGGGAUGGACGGACCACUGGUGUAUCUGUUGUCGACCAACGGCAUAGCAGAGUAGCCAAGUCUGGAAGGGAUAAACGCUGAAGGCAUCUAAGCGUGAAGCCCCCCUCAAGAUGAGAUUUCCCCUCCUAUAAGGAGAUAAGACCCCUGAGAGACUAUCAGGUAGAUAGGGCAGAGGUGGAAGCAUGGUAACAUGUGGAGCUGACUGUUACUAAUCGGUCGAAGGCUUGACCAA
Molecule: ribosomal RNA, 1681 nt
Filed under: Agathobacter ruminis
Lineage: Bacteria; Bacillati; Bacillota; Clostridia; Lachnospirales; Lachnospiraceae
Description: partial 23S ribosomal RNA
Rfam family: Bacterial large subunit ribosomal RNA
Source: RNAcentral